This 1346-nucleotide ribosomal RNA is filed under the name uncultured bacterium. RNAcentral describes it as "partial 16S ribosomal RNA". It matches the Rfam family "Bacterial small subunit ribosomal RNA", at positions 28 to 1381 of the family's 1533-position model. The record is from RNAcentral.
GACGAACGCUGGCGGCGUGCUUAACACAUGCUUGUCGAACGGAAAGGCCCUGCUUUUGUGGGGUGCUCGAGUGGCGAACGGGUGAGUAACACGUGAGUAACCUGCCCUUGACUUUGGGAUAACUUCAGGAAACUGGGGCUAAUACCGGAUAGGAGCUCCUGCUGCAUGGUGGGGGUUGGAAAGUUUCGGCGGUUGGGGAUGGACUCGCGGCUUAUCAGCUUGUUGGUGGGGUAGUGGCUUACCAAGGCUUUGACGGGUAGCCGGCCUGAGAGGGUGACCGGCCACAUUGGGACUGAGAUACGGCCCAGACUCCUACGGGAGGCAGCAGUGGGGAAUAUUGCACAAUGGGCGGAAGCCUGAUGCAGCAACGCCGCGUGCGGGAUGACGGCCUUCGGGUUGUAAACCGCUUUCGCCUGUGACGAAGCGUGAGUGACGGUAAUGGGUAAAGAAGCACCGGCUAACUACGUGCCAGCAGCCGCGGUGAUACGUAGGGUGCGAGCGUUGUCCGGAUUUAUUGGGCGUAAAGGGCUCGUAGGUGGUUGAUCGCGUCGGAAGUGUAAUCUUGGGGCUUAACCCUGAGCGUGCUUUCGAUACGGGUUGACUUGAGGAAGGUAGGGGAGAAUGGAAUUCCUGGUGGAGCGGUGGAAUGCGCAGAUAUCAGGAGGAACACCAGUGGCGAAGGCGGUUCUCUGGGCCUUUCCUGACGCUGAGGAGCGAAAGCGUGGGGAGCGAACAGGCUUAGAUACCCUGGUAGUCCACGCUGUAAACGGUGGGUACUAGGUGUGGGGUCCAUUCCACGGGUUCCGUGCCGUAGCUAACGCUUUAAGUACCCCGCCUGGGGAGUACGGCCGCAAGGCUAAAACCCAAAGGAAUUGACGGGGCCCCGCACAAGCGGCGGAGCAUGCGGAUUAAUUCGAUGCAACGCGUAGAACCUUACCUGGGUUUGACAUGGAUCGGGAGUGCUCAGAGAUGGGUGUGCCUCUUUUGGGGUCGGUUCACAGGUGGUGCAUGCCUGUCGUCAGCUCGUGUCGUGAGAUGUUGGGUUAAGUCCCGCAACGAGCGCAACCCUUGUUCACUGUUGCCAGCACGUUAUGGUGGGGACUCAGUGGAGACCGCCGGGGUCAACUCGGAGGAAGGUGGGGAUGACGUCAAGUCAUCAUGCCCCUUAUGUCCAGGGCUUCACGCAUGCUACAAUGGCUGGUACAGAGAGUGGCGAGCCUGUGAGGGUGAGCGAAUCUCGGAAAGCCGGUCUCAGUUCGGAUUGGGGUCUGCAACUCGACCUCAUGAAGUCGGAGUCGCUAGUAAUCGCAGAUCAGCAACGCUGCGGUGAAUACGUUCCCGGGGCU